AUAAACUGUGCCUGCCAGCGAUCCGCCGAAGUUCCUCCGAUGACUCGGCGGGCAGCUUCCGGGAAACCAGAGCUUUUGGGUUCCGGGGGAAGUAUGGUUGCAAAGCUGAAACUUAAAGGAAUUGACGGAAGGGCACCACAAGGAGUGGAGCCUGCGGCUUAAUUUGACUCAACACGGGAAAACUCACCAGGCCCGGACACCGGAAGGAUGGACAGAUUGAGAGCUCUUUCUUGAUUCGGUGGGUGGUGGUGCAUGGCCGUUCUUAGUUGGUGGAGCGAUUUGUCUGGUUAAUUCCGAUAACGAGCGAGACUCAAGCCUGCUAAAUAGGCGUACCCGGUAUCCUCACGGCUACCGGCGAUACAUAAAUCUUCUUAGAGGGACCGGCGUCUUGAGAAGACGCACGAGAAUGAGCAAUAACAGGUCUGUGAUGCCCUUAGAUGUCCUGGGCCGCACGCGCGCUACACUGAAGGAAUCAGCGCGUCCACCUAGUCCGAGAGGGCCGGGCAACCGCUGAACCUCCUUCGUGCUAGGGAUUGGGGCUUGCAAUUGUUCCCCAUGAACGAGGAAUUCCUAGUAAGCGCGAGUCAUAAGCUCGCGUUGAUUACGUCCCUGCCCUUUGUACACACCGCCCGUCGCUACUACCGAUUGGACGGUUAGGCGAGGCCUUCCGACCGGCGCGUGGAGACCGUUCGCGCGGCCGCCUGGUCGCCGGGAAGAUUGCCGAGCUUGGUCGUUUAGAGGAAGUAAAAGUCGUAACAAGGUUU
Molecule: ribosomal RNA, 764 nt
Filed under: Gergithoides carinatifrons
Lineage: Eukaryota; Metazoa; Arthropoda; Insecta; Hemiptera; Issidae
Description: bacterial SSU rRNA
Rfam family: Eukaryotic small subunit ribosomal RNA
Source: RNAcentral